ACAAUGAAGAGUUUGAUCCUGGCUCAGGAUGAACGCUAGCUACAGGCUUAACACAUGCAAGUCGAGGGGCAGCAUUUUAGUUUGCUUGCAAACUGAAGAUGGCGACC
Molecule: ribosomal RNA, 107 nt
Filed under: Bacteroides ovatus
Lineage: Bacteria; Pseudomonadati; Bacteroidota; Bacteroidia; Bacteroidales; Bacteroidaceae
Description: partial 16S ribosomal RNA
Source: RNAcentral